AGAGUUUGAUCCUGGCUCAGGAUGAACGCUAGCGGCAGGCCUAAUACAUGCAAGUCGGACGGGAUUCAGGGAGUAGCUUGCUACAAACUGAUGAGAGUGGCGCACGGGUGCGUAACGCGUGAGCAACCUACCCAUAUCAGGGGGAUAGCCUCUCGAAAGAGAGAUUAACACCGCAUAACAUCAUUAACCGGCAUCGGUUUUUGAUCAAAUAUUUAUAGGAUAUGGAUGGGCUCGCGUGACAUUAGCUAGUUGGAGAGGUAACGGCUCACCAAGGCUACGAUGUCUAGGGGCUCUGAGAGGAGAAUCCCCCACACUGGUACUGAGACACGGACCAGACUCCUACGGGAGGCAGCAGUAAGGAAUAUUGGUCAAUGGAGGCAACUCUGAACCAGCCAUGCCGCGUGCAGGAUGACUGCCCUAUGGGUUGUAAACUGCUUUUGUCAGGGAAUAAACCUUUCUACGUGUAGGAAGCUGAAUGUACCUGAAGAAUAAGGAUCGGCUAACUCCGUGCCAGCAGCCGCGGUAAU
This 527-nucleotide ribosomal RNA is filed under the name uncultured bacterium. Its description in RNAcentral is "bacterial SSU rRNA". It matches the Rfam family "Bacterial small subunit ribosomal RNA", at positions 8 to 524 of the family's 1533-position model. The record is from RNAcentral.